CUGCUCUGAAAAGGUGGGAGAAGUGCG
RNAcentral lists this non-coding RNA (27 nucleotides) under Cricetulus griseus (Chinese hamster). Lineage: Eukaryota; Metazoa; Chordata; Mammalia; Rodentia; Cricetidae. The record is from RNAcentral.